Molecule: ribosomal RNA, 1174 nt
Filed under: Listeria monocytogenes
Lineage: Bacteria; Bacillati; Bacillota; Bacilli; Caryophanales; Listeriaceae
Description: partial 23S ribosomal RNA
Rfam family: Bacterial large subunit ribosomal RNA
Source: RNAcentral
GACGGUAACAGCCCGGUAGUUGAAAUGGCUUUCCCUCCAGAGUGGAUCCUGAGUACGGCGGAACACGUGAAAUUCCGUCGGAAUCCGGGAGGACCAUCUCCCAAGGCUAAAUACUCCCUAGUGACCGAUAGUGAACCAGUACCGUGAGGGAAAGGUGAAAAGCACCCCGGAAGGGGAGUGAAACAGUUCCUGAAACCGUGUGCCUACAAGUAGUUAGAGCCCGUUAAUGGGUGAUAGCGUGCCUUUUGUAGAAUGAACCGGCGAGUUACGAUUUGUUGCAAGGUUAAGCGGAAAAAGCGGAGCCGUAGCGAAAGCGAGUCUGAAUAGGGCGCAUAAGUAACAGGUCGUAGACCCGAAACCAGGUGAUCUACCCAUGUCCAGGAUGAAGGUAAGGUAAUACUUACUGGAGGUCCGAACCCACGCACGUUGAAAAGUGCGGGGAUGAGGUGUGGGUAGCGGAGAAAUUCCAAUCGAACUUGGAGAUAGCUGGUUCUCUCCGAAAUAGCUUUAGGGCUAGCCUCGAGGUAAAGAGUCAUGGAGGUAGAGCACUGUUUGGACUAGGGGCCCUUCUCGGGUUACCGAAUUCAGAUAAACUCCGAAUGCCAUGUACUUAUACUCGGGAGUCAGACUGCGAGUGAUAAGAUCCGUAGUCGAAAGGGAAACAGCCCAGACCACCAGUUAAGGUCCCCAAAUAUAUGUUAAGUGGAAAAGGAUGUGGGGUUGCUUAGACAACCAGGAUGUUGGCUUAGAAGCAGCCACCAUUGAAAGAGUGCGUAAUAGCUCACUGGUCGAGUGACCCCGCGCCGAAAAUGUACCGGGGCUAAACAUAUUACCGAAACUGUGGAUGAACCUCUUUAGAGGUUCGUGGUAGGAGAGCGUUCUAAGGGCGGUGAAGUCAGACCGGAAGGACUGGUGGAGCGCUUAGAAGUGAGAAUGCCGGUAUGAGUAGCGAAAGAAGGGUGAGAAUCCCUUCCACCGAAUAUCUAAGGUUUCCUGAGGAAGGCUCGUCCGCUCAGGGUUAGUCGGGACCUAAGCCGAGGCCGAUAGGCGUAGGCGAUGGACAACAGGUAGAGAUUCCUGUACCAGUGCUAAUUGUUUAACCGAUGGGGUGACACAGAAGGAUAGGGAAUCGCACGAAUGGAAAUGUGCGUCCAAGCAGUGAGUGUGAGAAGUA